CGUUGGCCGCGUUCCUGUGCACCGGUGUGACUCGCAGAGGGAGGAGGCGGUGGAGGAAGAGGUGGCGGCGGUGGCGGUGGUCGUAACGGUGGCGGAGGAGGCGGGUACGAAUCAGCUGCGGGCGGAGACAUGGCCAACAUCGCGGUGCAGCGAAUCAAGCGGGAGUUCAAGGAGGUGCUGAAGAGCGAGGAGACGAGCAAAAAUCAAAUUAAAGUAGAUCUUGUAGAUGAGAAUUUUACAGAAUUAAGAGGAGAAAUAGCAGGACCUCCAGACACACCAUAUGAAGGAGGAAGAUAUCAACUAGAGAUUAAAAUACCAGAAACAUAUCCAUUUAAUCCCCCUAAGGUCCGGUUUAUCACGAAAAUAUGGCAUCCUAAUAUUAGUUCCGUCACAGGGGCUAUUUGUUUGGAUAUCCUGAAAGAUCAGUGGGCAGCAGCAAUGACUCUCCGCACGGUAUUAUUGUCAUUGCAAGCACUACUGGCAGCUGCAGAACCAGAUGAUCCACAAGAUGCAGUAGUAGCAGAUCAGUACAAACAAAAUCCCGAAAUGUUCAAACAGACAGCUCGACUUUGGGCACAUGUGUAUGCUGGAGCACCAGUUUCUAGUCCAGAAUACACCAAAAAAAUAGAAAACCUAUGUGCUAUGGGCUUUGAUAGGAAUGCAGUAAUAGUGGCCUUGUCUUCAAAAUCUUGGGCUGUAGAGACUGCAACAGAAUUGCUUCUGAGUAACUGAGACGUAGAGCUGCUGAUAUAGUCAAGCUUGCCCCUUCUUGAGGAGCAUCAACAUCUGUUAUUUUUAGGAUUCUGCGUAGAUUUCUUUUAAACUGGCAUUCUUGCCUAAUGAUGUUAUCUAGGCACCAUUGGAGACUGAAAAAAAUCUCUGCUCUGUAAAUAAAGCUAAUUAAACGUCUCUGUAAAUUU
Non-coding RNA from Delphinapterus leucas (beluga whale), 920 nucleotides. The record is from RefSeq and is a predicted model, not a curated record. Lineage: Eukaryota; Metazoa; Chordata; Mammalia; Artiodactyla; Monodontidae.